CUGGAGUACUUACCACGUUAUUCACUUCCUUUGCUCCCACGGUCAAUGAUCAUCUUCUGCAAAGCUAUUUUUUGCUCAGCCACCUCCAUCUGAAGCUUGUAAAUCUGAGCGCCCAUGUGGGAAAGCUGCUGCGCUGCAAAUUUAGCGCCCUCGUCAGCUUCGCGGCGCCUCUCGCCGGCAUCCUCAAUCCUUCUCUCCGCUGCUUCGCGCUCUGAGUUACUUUCAUCGACUUCCUGUAUAUGCUUGAGCUUGUUGAGAACCUCUUGAUGGACCUUAAACUUGCUUUCAACCCGUGCUACCAUCUUCGCCUUCGAGUAAUAAAACAGUAAGGCAAGCAGAACCUCGAAUCCAGCCACUAUUCCACCAAGCUGGCACACAAAUUUUUGC
This 387-nucleotide long non-coding RNA is filed under the name Hordeum vulgare. RNAcentral's name for it is "long non-coding RNA (HVUL_LNC001962)". The record is from RNAcentral. Lineage: Eukaryota; Viridiplantae; Streptophyta; Magnoliopsida; Poales; Poaceae.